RNAcentral lists this transfer RNA (66 nucleotides) under Heloderma suspectum (Gila monster). RNAcentral describes it as "tRNA-Pro". Lineage: Eukaryota; Metazoa; Chordata; Lepidosauria; Squamata; Helodermatidae. The record is from RNAcentral.
CAAGAGAUAGUUUAUUAAAAAUAUUGGUUUUGGGGACCAAUGAUAGAGGUAGGUCUCUUCUUUUGA